AGUGAACGCUGGCGGUAGGCCUAACACAUGCAAGUCGAACGGCAGCACAGUAAGAGCUUGCUCUUACGGGUGGCGAGUGGCGGACGGGUGAGGAAUACAUCGGAAUCUACUUUUUCGUGGGGGAUAACGUAGGGAAACUUACGCUACUACCGCAUACGACCUACGGGUGAAAGCAGGGGAUCUUCGGACCUUGCGCUAUUGAAUGAUCCGAUGUCGGAUUAGCUAGUUGGCGGGGUAAAGGCCCACCAAGGCGACGAUCCGUAGCUGGUCUGAGAGGAUGAUCAGCCACACUGGAAGUGAGACACGGUCCAGACUCCUACGGGAGGCAGCAGUGGGGAAUAUUGUACAAUGGGCGCAAGCCUGAUCCAGCCAUACCGCGUGGGUGAAGAAGGCCUUCGGGUUGUAAAGCCCUUUUGUUGGGAAAGAAAAGCAGCAGGUUAAUACCCCGCUGUUCUGACGGUACCCAAAGAAUAAGCACCGGCUAACUUCGUG
This 492-nucleotide ribosomal RNA is filed under the name uncultured bacterium. RNAcentral's name for it is "partial 16S ribosomal RNA". It matches the Rfam family "Bacterial small subunit ribosomal RNA", at positions 29 to 507 of the family's 1533-position model. The record is from RNAcentral.